AAAGUCGUAACAAGGUUUCCGUAGGUGAACCUGCGGAAGGAUCAUUACCAAAUCCAAAAAUACCCAACCCCAUGUGAACUAUUGUUUGUUGUCCUUGGGGGAAAAUGGGAGAGGAGGGGAGAAUAAAAAACUUUAUUUUUCUUUUCUUUGUCUUUUCCCCCAAAAGAAUCCGGGGCACUUCGGUGCUUUUGUGAUUCUUGAUAAACCACAGAUUUCUUUUUUUGUUUCGGAAUGACUUUUAUUAAAAAAUUAAAUAAAAGACAACUUUUAACGGUGGAUCUCUUGGCUCGU
This 291-nucleotide unclassified non-coding RNA is filed under the name Ascomycota sp. Its description in RNAcentral is "partial contains small subunit ribosomal RNA, internal transcribed spacer 1, and 5.8S ribosomal RNA". The stretch from base 1 to 47 matches the Rfam family "Eukaryotic small subunit ribosomal RNA", at positions 1785 to 1831 of the family's 1831-position model. The record is from RNAcentral. Lineage: Eukaryota; Fungi; Ascomycota.